RNAcentral lists this ribosomal RNA (420 nucleotides) under bacterium Ellin5219. RNAcentral's name for it is "bacterial SSU rRNA". It matches the Rfam family "Bacterial small subunit ribosomal RNA", at positions 28 to 452 of the family's 1533-position model. Lineage: Bacteria; Bacillati; Actinomycetota; Actinomycetes; Mycobacteriales; Nocardiaceae. The record is from RNAcentral.
GACGAACGCUGGCGGCGUGCUUAACACAUGCAAGUCGAGCGGUAAGGCCCUUCGGGGUACACGAGCGGCGAACGGGUGAGUAACACGUGGGUGAUCUGCCUUGCACUCUGGGAUAAGCCUGGGAAACUGGGUCUAAUACCGGAUAUGACCUGCCUCUGCAUGGGGGUUGGUGGAAAGAUUUAUCGGUGCGAGAUGGGCCCGCGGCCUAUCAGCUUGUUGGUGGGGUAAUGGCCUACCAAGGCGACGACGGGUAGCCGGCCUGAGAGGGCGACCGGCCACACUGGGACUGAGACACGGCCCAGACUCCUACGGGAGGCAGCAGUGGGGAAUAUUGCACAAUGGGCGGAAGCCUGAUGCAGCGACGCCGCGUGAGGGAUGACGGCCUUCGGGUUGUAAACCUCUUUCGACAGGGACGAAGCG